This 301-nucleotide ribosomal RNA is filed under the name uncultured bacterium. RNAcentral describes it as "partial 16S ribosomal RNA". It matches the Rfam family "Bacterial small subunit ribosomal RNA", at positions 509 to 807 of the family's 1533-position model. The record is from RNAcentral.
CAGUAGCCGCGGUAAUACGAAGGGGGCUAGCGUUGUUCGGAAUUACUGGGCGUAAAGCGCGCGUAGGCGGAUAUUUAAGUCAGGGGUGAAAUGCCAGGGCUCAACCUUGGAACUGCCUUUGAUACUGGGUAUCUGGAGUUUGGGAGAGGUGAGUGGAAUUCCGAGUGUAGAGGUGAAAUUCGUAGAUAUUCGGAGGAACACCAGAAGCGAAGGCGGCUCACUGGCCCAAUACUGACGCUGAGGCGCGAAAGCGUGGGGAGCAAACAGGAUUAGAUACCCCAGUAGUCCCUGUCUCUUAUAC